UUUUGCUCCUUUAUCUUAACUUUUAUUAACAGGGGACGACCUCAUAAUCUGGUGACAUCAUGAACCUGGUGGGCCGACAGAUAAAUAUCUUCAAUAAAAGAAAAGCGAGAAUGCCAAAGAACCAGCUAUAAAGUAAUCUGGAAGGAUGUGGAGGUGCUGGGCAGAAGGCCCUGGGGGGAUCUGAAGGAUACUACCAGCAUCCCAAGGGGCACACGGGGCAAUGUGCCCUCCUGCACCUCAGAGGCCUGACAAGUGGAACUGGGAGUAACCCUGGGUCCCUUUCCUUUAUCUUAAUCCAACACCAGCUACAAACAUGCAUGAAGUCGCUAAUGCCAGCUUCAGAUUUGCGACUGAAUCAAAGUCAUCACUACAAGAACCCCUGCCAACUCUCCUCGAAGAUAAAGAGAAAAAAAAAUACAGAAAAUGUGUUGCUUGCAGCGAUCUUCCUAAACCCAAAAGAUUUUAAUAAAAGAACCUAUAUAGUAGACGAAUCGGAAAAGGGAUUCCUGCACCUUGGGUCAGAUUCGAACUCAAUGUGACCCUGAGGAGAAGGCAGUCACCGAGCCCUGGAAAACUCUCCGCAUGUAAUGGGGGGGGGGAUGGGGGAGUAUAAGUGCAUCCACAUUCAGACUUCCCCAGUGUAGACACCCACGCACUAUGUACUUACACACACACA
Neofelis nebulosa (Clouded leopard) is the source of this 676-nucleotide long non-coding RNA. RefSeq lists it as uncharacterized. The transcript is spliced from 4 exons. The record is from RefSeq and is a predicted model, not a curated record. Lineage: Eukaryota; Metazoa; Chordata; Mammalia; Carnivora; Felidae.